AGGUUAAUGAGGCGAACCGGGGGAACUGAAACAUCUAAGUACCCCGAGGAAAAGAAAUCAACCGAGAUUCCCCCAGUAGCGGCGAGCGAACGGGGAGGAGCCCAGAGCCUGAAUCAGCAUGUGUGUUAGUGGAAGCGUCUGGAAAGGCGCGCGAUACAGGGUGACAGCCCCGUACACAAAAGCGCAUGUGCUGUGAGCUCGAUGAGUAGGGCGGGACACGUGGUAUCCUGUCUGAAUAUGGGGGGACCAUCCUCCAAGGCUAAAUACUCCUGACUGACCGAUAGUGAACCAGUACCGUGAGGGAAAGGCGAAAAGAACCCCGGCGAGGGGAGUGAAAAAGAACCUGAAACCGUGUACGUAC
This 361-nucleotide ribosomal RNA is filed under the name Salmonella enterica. RNAcentral's name for it is "partial 23S ribosomal RNA". It matches the Rfam family "Bacterial large subunit ribosomal RNA", at positions 168 to 567 of the family's 2925-position model. Lineage: Bacteria; Pseudomonadati; Pseudomonadota; Gammaproteobacteria; Enterobacterales; Enterobacteriaceae. The record is from RNAcentral.